GAAACUGCCUGGCUUGGGACCGGAAGACCAGAGGGGUACGUCCGGGGUAGGAGUGAAAUCCCGUAAUCCUGGACGGACCACCGGUGGCGAAAGCGCCUCUGGAAGACGGAUCCGACGGUGAGGGACGAAAGCUCGGGUCACGAACCGGAUUAGAUACCCGGGUAGUCCGAGCUGUAAACGAUGUCUGCUAGGUGUGCCACAGGCUACGAGCCUGUGGUGUGCCGCAGGGAAGCCGUGAAGCAGACCGCCUGGGAAGUACGUCCGCAAGGAUGAAACUUAAAGGAAUUGGCGGGGGAGCACUACAACCGGAGGAGCCUGCGGUUUAAUUGGACUCAACGCCGGACAUCUCACCAGCAUCGACAGUAGGAGUGACGGUCAGUGUGAUGAGCUUACCAGACCUACUGAGAGGAGGUGCAUGGCCGCCGUCAGCUCGUACCGUGAGGCGUCCUGUUAAGUCAGGCAACGAGCGAGACCCGCA
This 478-nucleotide ribosomal RNA is filed under the name Natronococcus jeotgali. Its description in RNAcentral is "bacterial SSU rRNA". It matches the Rfam family "Archaeal small subunit ribosomal RNA", at positions 580 to 1056 of the family's 1478-position model. The record is from RNAcentral. Lineage: Archaea; Methanobacteriati; Methanobacteriota; Halobacteria; Halobacteriales; Natrialbaceae.